Molecule: ribosomal RNA, 696 nt
Filed under: uncultured bacterium
Lineage: Bacteria
Description: bacterial SSU rRNA
Rfam family: Bacterial small subunit ribosomal RNA
Source: RNAcentral
AACGCUAGCUACAGGCUUAACACAUGCAAGUCGAGGGGAAACGAUAGAGAAAGCUUGCUUUUUCUAGGCGUCGACCGGCGCACGGGUGAGUAACGCGUAUCCAACCUGCCCAUCACUUGGGGAUAACCUUGCGAAAGUAAGACUAAUACCCAAUGACGUCCAUAGAAGACAUCUGAAAUGGAUUAAAGAUUUAUCGGUGAUGGAUGGGGAUGCGUCUGAUUAGCUUGUUGGCGGGGUAACGGCCCACCAAGGCGACGAUCAGUAGGGGUUCUGAGAGGAAGGUCCCCCACAUUGGAACUGAGACACGGUCCAAACUCCUACGGGAGGCAGCAGUGAGGAAUAUUGGUCAAUGGGCGAGAGCCUGAACCAGCCAAGUAGCGUGCAGGAUGACGGCCCUAUGGGUUGUAAACUGCUUUUAUAAGGGAAUAAAGUGGGAGUCGUGACUCCUUUUGCAUGUACCUUAUGAAUAAGGACCGGCUAAUUCCGUGCCAGCAGCCGCGGUAAUACGGAAGGUCCGGGCGUUAUCCGGAUUUAUUGGGUUUAAAGGGAGCGUAGGCCGGAGAUUAAGCGUGUUGUGAAAUGUAGACGCUCAACGUCUGCACUGCAGCGCGAACUGGUUUCCUUGAGUACGCACAAAGUGGGCGGAAUUCGUGGUGUAGCGGUGAAAUGCUUAGAUAUCACGAAGAACUCCGAUUG